AGCUUUGCACAGUGGCAGUAUCAUUGCCAGUGAGGUUUAUCUGAGGCUCGAUUAUUGCUAAUUGAAAACAGAAAAGAGCUGGCAGGGUGAGUGUUAUUAUUUUUUGAAAUCUUCUCUAAAAG
RNAcentral lists this small nuclear RNA (122 nucleotides) under Tupaia belangeri chinensis (Chinese tree shrew). Its description in RNAcentral is "Tupaia chinensis (Chinese tree shrew) U4 spliceosomal RNA". It matches the Rfam family "U4 spliceosomal RNA". From Rfam's summary of the family: U4 small nuclear RNA (U4 snRNA) is a component of the major U2-dependent spliceosome. The structure of U4 snRNA from yeast and human has been reported. U4 snRNA presents a k-turn RNA motif in the 5p-SL related to recognition of Snu13 protein. The record is from Rfam by way of RNAcentral. Lineage: Eukaryota; Metazoa; Chordata; Mammalia; Scandentia; Tupaiidae.